GCGCCCGCAGGGCCGCGGGGCCAGGACGCGCCGCUCCGCCGAGGUGGAGCUCCUCGCCGGCAGCGGGCGCGGAGCUCGGGUGGAACCGGGCCUGCCCGCGCCCCCGAGAGUCCCCCCGAGUCCCCACGCUCACGUGCCGCCCCGGCCUUAGCGGCCUUUGGCUCCGGAUUUGUUGAUGCAAAUGUGUGUCUGAGCUCCCUGCCUCACCCAAACUCAGAGGCAAGGGUCCUGGGGCUGAGAGUGGCGGGCCGCAUGGGAAGCAUGCCCAUGGCCGGAGGCGGGGGGAACGCGGGUGAACAGGUGUGGGGGGAGGGGCGCUGUUUUCUAGGAACGUGCCCUGGGCCGUAGGUCAGGUUCUGUUUCUGUCUCUGCUGUUCACUGACCCUGUGACUUUGGAAAUCUUUCCAGUUUUGUUUUUUUUUAAACAGUGGAGAGAGAUGUGCCCAAGGCUGGUGGCAUCCCAGGUGUUGCUCAGGAUGCUGGGACCCGCAGGGAACAAGCCAGACAUAUCCCUGCCCCCCCUCGCCCACUGUGGCAGGGGCUGACCGCAGGCAGGACGCGGACCUGUUGGCCUCCUCGGCUUCUGAUGCGGGGUGUCUGCUGAGGAACCGGGGCUUGGUUUCCUGUCUAGAAAGUGUCAGAGCCUUGUGGUGUGGCGAACAUCUUUGGUGCUGUGUCCUUGGAGCUGCUCUGAGCAUUUAUUUCCUUAGGCUCAAGAUCCCGACAGGAGAGUGUGGGGCCAAAGACCGUGACGCCUUUUGCCAAGAUGCCCCCAGAAACGUGGGGCCAGUUUGCUGUCCUGCGCUGGCAGAAAGUACCAAGUGAUAAUUGGAUAUUAGCCGUGCUGGCUUUUCAGCUCUCUGCUGAGGAACUUUCUUCUUUAAACUGUUCCGAAAGCCCCAAACCCUGAGCUCUCCCCACCGCCUUCUCUCCCACGACCGUCUUAGAGACGUUGACGUCGACAAGAGAGGACUCACGCAUGAGCAGGACACAAGCUGGUGACCAUGUCCCCCUCGUCUGAUAGCAGUACUGCGAAGUGGCAAGUGGUGGCAUUUCUCACAUUGCCGAGAAAGAUGUGAACAUUCUGAGGACAUUCCAGGCUUCCAUAGCCCUGCUGGGGUUUGUCAUGUGAUCUCUCGGGGAGGGCGGCUCAGCCUUUCUGAAGGAACCACGUUCUCCCCGUGGAGAAAGGUUGACUGGCAGCUGUGGUGACAGAAGUGGACACAAGUCAAUUGGGAGACCACCAGGGUCAUUCAGGAGAAGCGGGGUGUCACAUUUGGGUAUGGAGAGGGUAGGCAGGAGGGAUGGGGAGGAAGGGGACCUAGGGGCCUGCUGAUUGACUGAUUUGGGAGAAUGAGGGAGGAGAAAGCACACAAAGCUGUCUGAGCAGGCUCAAAUGACAGGGAGUUUGCCGUUUUGGGAUGCAGGGCUGUCUCCCAGAGGGGGCCCGAGGGUUGCCUGUGCGGCAUCUGGGGCAGAGGGUAGUGGGAGCUUCCAUCCGAGGUGGAUUUCACUGCUUUUCUGGGCCAGUCUCCUAGGACUCUGGUCCAGAGACCAGCUUCUCUUGAGGGCCCACAGGCAGCAGACAGAACACAGCCACCAGAUUUUGUUGCACCCCAAAUGCUUGGCUCCAGGCCCCCCCCCAGCUCUGUUUCUGAUGCUUAAGCUCAGUUGAGGGGAGGAGUUCGGCUGGCAUGGAUAAUCUUUGUGAGCUGGACUCCCAAGUCACAGCUGGCACACCAGUGUGUGGUUUUGUGUCCUUGGGUCAGAUGUCUGCUAGAAUUAGCCGUGCUCAGCGGUGUAGGAUGGGCAGGGGGUGGAGAGGCCAACUUCCAGAAGGAGGAGUGGGAGUGUCUGUCAAGAAAAGAGUUAGCCACUUGGGAACUAAGAAUAAGUUGCUUGUUACAUGCCCAAUAAUUAAAACGAAUAAAUCAAUAAAUCAAUAAGUAAGGUGCCUGGGACUGAAAAUGGCCCCAAUGGAACCAGCCCUCUCUCCUCCAACAGUCACCGUUCCUACUGAGGCACGCCCAUCCAUACUGUCACCUAAGCCAGAAACCUGGGUUGGGGGCAGAUUGCUGCUGAGAACAGCAGAAGAACAGCCCAGCUGAGCACAGCCCAAGUUGCUGACUUAGAGAAUGAUGAGCAAAUGAAGUGGUUGUCUCUCAGCUGGGAUCUUAGCUGGGGCUCUGGGCCAGAACACCUCCGCAAGACGCCUCCCUGGGCCCUCAGCUUCCUCACGGCAUUGUGACUGAGCUCUGAGGGCAAGCACUUUCUGAGAGAGUCAGAGGGAGGCAGCACCACCUUUUUGAUCCAGCCUGAGAUGUCAUGCAGCAUCAGUGCCACUGGAUUCUAGUCCUUGAGGCAGAUAAUACGACCUGCCAAGUUCCAUGAAAGGGAAUUAAACUCCGUCUCUUCAUGGGGAGUGGCAAGGUCCUGGAACACCUUGAAACAGAAAUGUUGUCGUGGCCAUUUUUGGAAAACACCAUCUGCUGUACUCCUUGUAGUCAAAGAUUGCACUCUGCAGGAUGUCAGAGCUUGGAAAUUUUUUGAGGCUUUCUUUAUGGCUCAUUUAAUUUUUGUAAAUGCUCUGGGUGAAUUUGAGAAGAAAAUGCACUCUGCAGUUGUUAGUAGGAAUAAAAUCUCAGUUGAUUUUGUUGGCCAUGUUGUUCAAAUAUUCUAUAUCUAUACUAUUUUUCUGUCUGCUUGUUCUGGUUCAUUACUGACAGAGAACAUAUUAAAAUUUUCCACGAUUGUGGAUUUGUCUAUUUUUUU
This is a long non-coding RNA of Lemur catta (Ring-tailed lemur), 2772 nucleotides long. RefSeq lists it as uncharacterized. The transcript has 4 exons. The record is from RefSeq and is a predicted model, not a curated record. Lineage: Eukaryota; Metazoa; Chordata; Mammalia; Primates; Lemuridae.